This 528-nucleotide ribosomal RNA is filed under the name Cytobacillus oceanisediminis. Its description in RNAcentral is "bacterial SSU rRNA". It matches the Rfam family "Bacterial small subunit ribosomal RNA", at positions 120 to 633 of the family's 1533-position model. The record is from RNAcentral. Lineage: Bacteria; Bacillati; Bacillota; Bacilli; Caryophanales; Bacillaceae.
GGCAACCUGCCUGUAAGACUGGGAUAACUCCGGGAAACCGGGGCUAAUACCGGAUAAUUCUUUCCCUCACAUGAGGGAAAGCUGAAAGAUGGUGGGCGGCUAUCACUUACAGAUGGGCCCGCGGCGCAUUAGCUAGUUGGUGAGGUAACGGCUCACCAAGGCCACGAUGCGUAGCCGACCUGAGAGGGUGAUCGGCCACACUGGGACUGAGACACGGCCCAGACUCCUACGGGAGGCAGCAGUAGGGAAUCUUCCGCAAUGGACGAAAGUCUGACGGAGCAACGCCGCGUGAGUGAUGAAGGUUUUCGGAUCGUAAAACUCUGUUGUCAGGGAAGAACAAGUACCGGAGUAACUGCCGGUACCUUGACGGUACCUGACCAGAAAGCCACGGCUAACUACGUGCCAGCAGCCGCGGUAAUACGUAGGUGGCAAGCGUUGUCCGGAAUUAUUGGGCGUAAAGCGCGCGCAGGCGGUUCCUUAAGUCUGAUGUGAAAGCCCCCGGCUCAACCGGGGAGGGUCAUUGGAAAC